Molecule: ribosomal RNA, 253 nt
Filed under: uncultured bacterium
Lineage: Bacteria
Description: partial 16S ribosomal RNA
Rfam family: Bacterial small subunit ribosomal RNA
Source: RNAcentral
UACGGGGGGAGCAAGCGUUGUUCGGAUUUACUGGGCGUAAAGGGCGCGUAGGCGGCGCAACAAGUCACUUGUGAAAUCUCCGGGCUUAACCCGGAGCGGCCAAGUGAUACUGUCGUGCUAGAGUGCGGAAGGGGCUACUGGAAUUCUCGGUGUAGCGGUGAAAUGCGCAGAUAUCAGGAGGAACACCAAUGGCGAAGGCAGCACUCUGGGACGUGACUGACGCUGAGACGCGAAAGCGUGGGGAGCAAACAGG